AAGUCGUAACAAGGUUUCCGUAGGUGAACCUGCGGAAGGAUCAUUAUUGAAUAUGCUUGAUAGGUUGUAGCUGGCUCUUCGGAGUAUGUGCACGCUUAUCUUGACUUUAUUCAUCCACCUGUGCACCUUUUGUAGUCUUGGGGGUUGAGAUCAGUCGACUAUCGGAUGGCCAAGGUCAUUCCGGAUGUGAGGAAUGCUGAGUGCGAAAGCAUACAGCUCUUCUCAAAUGACUUGUCUUCCUCGAGUACUAUGUAUUCAUAUACCACAUAGUAUGUUGUAGAAUGUGAUCAAUGGGUCUAUGUACCUAUAAUAAUCAUAUACAACUUUCAGCAACGGAUCUCUUGGCUCUC
This 350-nucleotide unclassified non-coding RNA is filed under the name Holocotylon brandegeeanum. RNAcentral describes it as "partial internal transcribed spacer region". The stretch from base 1 to 46 matches the Rfam family "Eukaryotic small subunit ribosomal RNA", at positions 1786 to 1831 of the family's 1831-position model. The record is from RNAcentral. Lineage: Eukaryota; Fungi; Basidiomycota; Agaricomycetes; Agaricales; Lycoperdaceae.